Molecule: long non-coding RNA, 3169 nt
Organism: Hippopotamus amphibius kiboko
Lineage: Eukaryota; Metazoa; Chordata; Mammalia; Artiodactyla; Hippopotamidae
Exons: 5
Source: RefSeq, a predicted model, not a curated record
UCUCAUGCCGGUCUCCAGGCACUUGCGCAGGCGGCAAGCCUGGCACUGCCGCCGGGUCUUCCGGGUGAUCUCGCAGGUGCCCUUCUGGAAGGGGCACCGGAGCCGGGCGUUGCGUUUCAUGGCCCUUCUGCGAGAGGACAGAGAGCAAAAGAUGAAUAGAAAGAAACAAAUUCUCCUUUGGCUCUGGCCUGUGGCUCUGGUCCAGCAGUGUGGAAGAUGAAGAAGGACCGGCCGAGGCUGCUGCAUGGGCCCUGGGGGCUGAUCUGGGAGGCCUGAGGCCUGGAGACAGGGACCCACCCAGGGGGCAUGUUUCUCAGACUCCACCCUUCUCCUGCUGGCCUGGGGGAGCAGGUGGGGUCAGUACUCAGUGAUAGCAGAAGAGAAAAACAGGACUGACUGCUGAGCUCACCAACCCUUUGAAGGCCUCAGACUUCUAGAUAUGAGAGUCUGAGCCUGCACUGAGCUGUGUUCUUGCUCUUUCUUCGGCUGGACAUCGUGAGCUUUUUGUGCAGGCCUGUCUUGCUGUGAGCUGGGACUUUUUAGUCCUUAAUUUUUUGGACCUCUGUUUCUAGGUGAGCUGGUUCUUCAUAUUCUUCACUUAUUUUUUGCCAUUCUUUAUUUAAAACCACUCCUUAAGAGUGAUUUGAACACUUGAAUUUUGAGUUUUCAGAGUCUUUCCUCUUUUACUGACUCAUUUGUUAUAUUUGCUAUUUUAUUUAAGAAGACACAAGAGAAACAAAGGGAUAUCUUAAUGGAAAGGGGCCUUUCCCAAGUAGAGUGGGAAGACAGAAGAUGAAGGUUUCCUCUCAGAUAUAAAUGUUUCUCCCGAGGCUAAUUAGGAGGCCUUUGGAUGGGCCACCAGCCCACACUCUGAACCUGGGAGUCAGGUCAGCGGAGGCCCUGAGACGGUGCCCAAGGGGCUAAUGGCAGAACCCAGUUAGAUGUGACCCAUUGUGUCGGGUGAGUGAAAGUUGACAAGUAACUGUACCUGAAAAAGCCCUUGCAUCCUUCACAUGUCAUGACAUUGAAGUGAUAACCAGUGGCCUUGUCCCCACAUACACGGCAGAUCUGGAGAUCCUCAUUUCCCUGGUCUGCAUUGAUGGUGGAAUUUGCAGAAGUGGAGUCUGCUUCGGAGUGCAUGAGGUCAGCAUGGUUCCAGCUUUCUUCAGGUCGCACCUCCAGCUUUGCUUCUGAGCCCGUGGAACUAGAAGUGAAAACACCACAGGGAGUGAGAGAGCGGGACAGGGGUGUGCUGAAGCAGCCGCACUGUGCAUCACUCACAUUUGGUUCUUUGGACACAGGAGCUGAAUUCUCAUGGAAGAAAUGAGGGUAGAGGACUAGAGCUGUUAUAAAGCGCCAUGCACCUUUCACCUUGAGGAUGUGGCUUGAAUUUUACUGGAAUGGGCACAGAGGACAGUGAGCAGAAAUUGGAAGCUGUCCUAUUCACUACUCUUCCCCAAAGCCUCUCGAGGCCACCACGCCGCAGGUGAUGUUGCCUUUUCUAAAACCAAAAUAAAACUUUUAGUAAAAUUUCAACACACAAAUUUCUGUUUUUAACAACAUGACAGAUGAGAGCUGACUGUUUCACACAUGACAGUGAAUUAGAAAUUAAUCUGUCCUCUGACCCUGGCCUUCCAAAAAACUGCAAAUAAAAUAGGCUGACUGGAAACAGGUAUGUGGGAAAAUCUUCUGAUUUUUCGAAUCAUAAUCCUGACCUCAUGUGGGCUUGCAGAAAAAAAUGUGUACUCUGAGUAUUCAGAAAAGCCACAAAGAAUUUGAUUUAAGGUGAUCUUAGGCUGAUAGUGUUUGCAGGCACCCACUGAAGCAGAUGUUAAUCUUCCUCUCUAGAGGAACUUACUUUCCACACAGACACAAAGAAUCACACAAGUCAUUUUCAAGAAGUAUGAGCAAAAAUUCACAAAUCAUGAGUCAAAGACUAACAUGGCACCAUGAUCAAGAGCCAGCAAAAACAACUUACAAGAGAAUUAGACGUGCAGAGACCCCCUGAAUUAUCAGAAAAUGAGUCUAAAUAAAUAAAUAGAAGAGGUUGAAGAUACAAGGAAAGAGAAGAAGACUGAAAUAAACCAGAUUUGUAAAAUGAAUAAAAAUUGACUAUAAAAUCUGAACUAACAGCAACUAUAUGAACCAAUAGUAACAAUGCUUAGGAGUUAGAAAAAAAAGCAAAACACAACUAAAAUAUGCAAAAACUUAAGUCAGAAGAUAGAUGAUCACAGUGAAAAUUUUCUAAAGUUCAAUAUUGUUGAGGGAGGAAAAAGAUCAUAACUCAGAUUUUGAUUAGUAAAGUAUGGUUUUUAAGUUUUCUAGGCAACCCCUAAGUCUGGAAAUAGAAUGCAUAACUUGAAAGCUCAUAGAAAGGAAGAAAUGGAAGAACAAAGAAAAAUCCAACCACAAAGGUAAAAGAAACUGAAAGGUUGACACAAAUAGCAUAAGGUAAGAUGAUGGAAAUAGCAAAUAUAUUGAUAAUUAAAUGUAAAUACGGUUGAUCCUUGAACAGCACAAGUUUGAACUGUGUGGGUUCACUCAUAUUCAGAUUUUUUUCAGUAAAUAUAUUGGAAAAAAUUUUGGAGAUGUGGAACAAUUUGAAAAAAACCACAUAGCCUAGAAGUAUUGAAAAAACUAAGAAAAAGGUAUGUUGUGAAUGCAUAAAACAUGUAGAUAUUAGUCUGUCCUUAUGUAGGCAUAAUAUAAAAUCCAUAAUGUGUUAGUUUUCUUACUGUUUUAUAACUUUGCCUAGAUUACCAUAUCGUAUGCCUCUCUGGUAUUCGAAGAAACUGCGUUAUCAUCCUUUCAUUACAGGUACUAUUUUUAAUGUAACAAUGUUUUCAGUGCUAUAAGAUGACUGUAAUAUGUAUGCCAUAAAAACCUUAUAAUGAUUCAUUCAUUAGUGUAUAUAGUCCAGGCUUUGUGAAGCAAGCGUAUCAAUCACAUUAGACUACCAUAAAGCAAUCAUGUUGCUGGUUCUUCCUUAUCAAUGCAUGAAUCGUUAUACCUGUAAAUAAAUAUGAAUUUUUUUCACAUUAUCUUUUUAUUUCAUUUUGAUAUCUAGUGUUGGUAAUAUGAGUAACAUCUACAGUGGUUUUUUGUUUUGUUUUUGUUUUUUUUGUUUUUUUAAUAUUUAUUUAUUUUAUUGGCUGUGUUGGGUCUUUUU